AAAAGAAACAGGAAGUACUUAUUACACAGGCCGGUGGAUGAUGGGUCAUACGAUCGUGUAACACAGAAGACAAGGAAUCAGUAGAAAAUUCCACCAAGUGGCGAGACACAGACCAGUGGUUAAAUGGAAAAUUCAAAUAAACGCAGCAGAACGUACGCAAUAAUGCCCAAGUGCUGCAGCCCAUGUAAAACUCAACACAUUGGCUGGAGGCCCGGAGGGUCACUGAUGUAACCAUUGUGACCAGUGGUACUGGACGCACGGACCAGUGAGUCAACCCUUUAGCACAGUGGUGGAGUAGCAUAUUGACUUGUUAUGCAGAGUUUCUGGGGAUAUACGAGUCCAAUGACCCAGCCAAGCUAAAUGAUGUACAACUUACCACACAUGAAGUGUGACAUGGAAACAUUGCGUGAAUCACAUCCAGACUUAAUGUGGAUAUACAAACAGACUUAAUGUGGAUUACAUGUACAAUUAAUGUGGAUUACAGACUUAAUGUGAAUCACAUGCAGACUUAAUGUGGAUUACAUGCAGACUUAAUCUGGAUCACAAACAAACUUAAUGGGAUUACAAACAGACUUAAUGUGGAUUACAACCAGACUUGAUGUGCAUAACACGUAGACUUAAUGUGCAUAACACGUAGACUUAAUGUGGAUUACAUGUACAAUUAAUGUGGAUUACAGACUUAAUGUGGAUUACAUGUGGAUUUAAUGUGGAUUAAAUGCAGACUUAAUGUGGAUUACAAACAGACUUAAUGUGGAUUACAACCAGACUUGAUGUGCAUAACACGUAGACUUAAUGUGCAUAACACGUAGACUUAAUGUGGAUUACAUGUACAAUUAAUGUGGAUUACAGACUUAAUGUGGAUUACAUGUAGAUUUAAUGUGGAUUACAAACAGACUUAAUGUGGAUUACAUGUACAAUUAAUGUGAAUUACAUGCAGACUUAAUGUGGAUUACAUGUAGACUUAAUGUGGAUUACAUACAGACUUAAUGUGGAUUACAUGUACAAUUAAUGUGGAUUACAGACUUAAUGUGGAUUACAUGUAGAUUUAAUGUGGAUUACAAACAGACUUAAUGUGGAUUACAUGUACAAUUAAUGUGGAUUACAUGUAGACUUAAUGUGGAUUACAUGUAGACUUAAUGUUGAUUACAUGUAGACUUAAUGUGGAUUACAAGCAGACUUAAUGUGGAUUACAUGUACAAUUAAUGUGAAUUACAUGCAGACUUAAUGUGGAUUACAUGUAGACUUAAUGUUGAUUACAUACAAACUUAAUGUGAAUUACAUGCAAACUUAUUGUGGAUUACAUAUACCUGGUAAAUUUAAUGUGGAUUACAUGUAGACUUAAUUGGAUUAUAUGUAGACUUAAUGUGGAUUACAUGUACACUUAAUGUGAAUUACAUGUAUAUUUAACGUGGUUUACAUGCAGACUUAAUGUGGAUUACAUGCAGACUUAAUGUAGAUUACAUGCAGACUUAAUGUGGAUUGCAUGCAGACUUAAUGUGGAUUACAUGCAGACUUAAUGUAGAUUAUUUGGGAGCUUACUUGGAUCAACAUGUGACCAAAUAAGGAAUCUUGGAAGGAUUAGACACAUUAUUGACGAAACAACCUGCAAAACACUAAUGCAUGCUCUGGUGACAUCGAGACUCGACUAUGCCAAUGCAUUGCUACUUGGCUUACCAAACAGGACCACGGACAAACUCCAACGUGUACAGAAUACAACAGCAAGGAUAAUAACUCGUACUAAAAAAACAUGAUCACAUUACACCUGUACUGUAUAACCUGCACUGACUCCCGGUUCAGUACCGCAUAAAAUACAAAGUGCUUGUACACACAUACCAAGCAGUUCACAAAACCGGACCAACCUACCCUAGUAGAUUAAUACAGAUUAAUACCCCGUAUUGCCCUCCGGGAGAUUUAUGUUCGGGAAAUAGGAUGCUUCUAAAUGUUCCACAAAUAAGAACACAGACUCACGGAAACAGGCGUUUUGACUACUCCGCGCCAAAACUGGGAACGCCUUACCACUCGGAUUACGCCAAGCUAAAUCUCUUGACAUUUUUAAGCGACAUCAUUUUCUUCAUAUUGCUUUUAAUAUCUAGCUAAAAGACAAUUCUAUCUUAUUUACAAAGUGUUUUAAAGUGUAUUACAAUAAUAUGCAUAUACCAUCAUUUUUUAUGUAGGACAUUGCAAUUUUUACUUUGAAUUGUAUGCUUUUUAUGUAAAGCGCUUUAGAGAUUUUUAAUUGAUUAAGGUGCUACAUAAGUCUUACUAUUGUAUUGUAUUACAAACAGACUUCAUGUGGAUUACAUGUAGAGUUAAUGUGGAUUACAAACAGAUUUAAUGUGAAUUACAAACAGACUUCAUGUGAAUUACAAACAGACUUCAUGUGGAUUACAUGGAGAUUUAAUGUGGAUUACAUUUGUACAUGCUAAUGUAGACUUAAUGAAAGUUCAACGUUAUGGAUGUACACUACGCUAACGAAGAAUGCAAUAUAGAUACUAUUAAUAAAGACUUACCGACGACGGGUGAACCUACAAAUAAAAAAAACCCAUUUAAUUUCCUCAAAAACGUGUGUUUACAUAUAAAUACUGUACAUAUAUAUUAGUCUGUCAUUCUAUUUCACUAUUUGUCCUUGGGAUUUAUAACGAAAUCCUGUCCUGCAACAGAACUUAAGUUAAAUGCUGUAUAUACAUUUUCCUUAAAAAUAACCCAGAAGACAUCUUUGUGUUUGAUUUUGACACAUUAAACUGUAUUUUAAUGUAUAUUUACGGAGAAACUUUCUCUUUUGUACAUCCAUUUUAGAAUGUACACUGUAAAAUAUUUGCUAGAUAAAAUUGAAACCAUAGCACUGAAUAGAUUAACAAUCGAUUAACGAUUUAUACUUGUCUAAUUCCUGGGGUUUCAAGAGUGGUACGGGUUCAACACCCCUCUUUAGAUCGCAAUAGUUGGUUCAUUCUUGAUACACAAUAAUGAUCUAAAGAGCGCUUCAAUUCUAAUAAGGCACCCAUUAACCCCCUUUCCUACCCCUAAACGACAAAAUUUAUAUUUAAAAAAGUUUCCUGUCAAAUUUCUAACAAAACUGUAUGUCAUAUGUUUACCCCCAAAUCAUGGCACAAAUAUAUUUAGAUCGAUUUUAAGAAAUAUCGUCAUAGAGCUUUAUUAUAUGAAUAUAUACUAGUUGUAACCUGCGCAUGUAUGAAUAAAAUUUAACAAAAUAAAA
Ostrea edulis (European flat oyster) is the source of this 3214-nucleotide long non-coding RNA. RefSeq lists it as uncharacterized. Lineage: Eukaryota; Metazoa; Mollusca; Bivalvia; Ostreida; Ostreidae. The transcript is spliced from 4 exons. The record is from RefSeq and is a predicted model, not a curated record.